This 1372-nucleotide ribosomal RNA is filed under the name uncultured bacterium. Its description in RNAcentral is "bacterial SSU rRNA". It matches the Rfam family "Bacterial small subunit ribosomal RNA", at positions 28 to 1381 of the family's 1533-position model. The record is from RNAcentral.
GAUGAACGCUGGCGGCGUGCCUAAUACAUGCAAGUCGAGCGAACGGACGAGAAGCUUGCUUUUCUGAUGUUAGCGGCGGACGGGUGAGUAACACGUGGAUAACCUACCUAUAAGACUGGGAUAACUUCGGGAAACCGGAGCUAAUACCGGAUAAUAUUUUGAACCGCAUGGUUCAAAAGUGAAAGACGGUCUUGCUGUCACUUAUAGAUGGAUCCGCGCUGCAUUAGCUAGUUGGUAAGGUAACGGCUUACCAAGGCAACGAUGCAUAGCCGACCUGAGAGGGUGAUCGGCCACACUGGAACUGAGACACGGUCCAGACUCCUACGGGAGGCAGCAGUAGGGAAUCUUCCGCAAUGGGCGAAAGCCUGACGGAGCAACGCCGCGUGAGUGAUGAAGGUCUUCGGAUCGUAAAACUCUGUUAUUAGGGAAGAACAUAUGUGUAAGUAACUGUGCACAUCUUGACGGUACCUAAUCAGAAAGCCACGGCUAACUACGUGCCAGCAGCCGCGGUAAUACGUAGGUGGCAAGCGUUAUCCGGAAUUAUUGGGCGUAAAGCGCGCGUAGGCGGUUUUUUAAGUCUGAUGUGAAAGCCCACGGCUCAACCGUGGAGGGUCAUUGGAAACUGGAAAACUUGAGUGCAGAAGAGGAAAGUGGAAUUCCAUGUGUAGCGGUGAAAUGCGCAGAGAUGUGGAGGAACACCAGUGGCGAAGGCGACUUUCUGGUCUGUAACUGACGCUGAUGUGCGAAAGCGUGGGGAUCAAACAGGAUUAGAUACCCUGGUAGUCCACGCCGUAAACGAUGAGUGCUAAGUGUUAGGGGGUUUCCGCCCCCUAGUGCUGCAGCUAACGCAUUAAGCACUCCGCCUGGGGAGUACGACCGCAAGGUUGAAACUCAAAGGAAUUGACGGGGGCCCGCACAAGCGGUGGAGCAUGUGGUUUAAUUCGAAGCAACGCGAAGAACCUUACCAAAUCUUGACAUCCUUUGACAACUCUAGAGAUAGAGCCUUCCCCUUCGGGGGACAAAGUGACAGGUGGUGCAUGGUUGUCGUCAGCUCGUGUCGUGAGAUGUUGGGUUAAGUCCCGCAACGAGCGCAACCCUUAAGCUUAGUUGCCAUCAUUAAGUUGGGCACUCUAAGUUGACUGCCGGUGACAAACCGGAGGAAGGUGGGGAUGACGUCAAAUCAUCAUGCCCCUUAUGAUUUGGGCUACACACGUGCUACAAUGGACAAUACAAAGGGCAGCGAAACCGCGAGGUCAAGCAAAUCCCAUAAAGUUGUUCUCAGUUCGGAUUGUAGUCUGCAACUCGACUACAUGAAGCUGGAAUCGCUAGUAAUCGUAGAUCAGCAUGCUACGGUGAAUACGUUCCCGGGUCU